RNAcentral lists this transfer RNA (82 nucleotides) under Myceligenerans pegani. Its description in RNAcentral is "tRNA-Leu". It matches the Rfam family "tRNA". Rfam says of the family: Transfer RNA (tRNA) molecules are approximately 80 nucleotides in length. Their secondary structure includes four short double-helical elements and three loops (D, anti-codon, and T loops). The record is from RNAcentral. Lineage: Bacteria; Bacillati; Actinomycetota; Actinomycetes; Micrococcales; Promicromonosporaceae.
GCCCGCCUGGCGGAACUGGCAGACGCGCGCGGCUCAAACCCGCGUCUCUUCGGAGGUGGGGGUUCGAGUCCCCCGGCGGGCA